UACGAAGGGGGCUAGCGUUGUUCGGAAUUACUGGGCGUAAAGCGCGCGCAGGCGGCUAUCCAAGUCAGUGGUGAAAGCCCGGAGCUCAACUCCGGAACUGCCAUUGAAACUGUUUAGCUUGAGGACGAGAGAGGUGAGUGGAAUUCCCAGUGUAGAGGUGAAAUUCGUAGAUAUUGGGAAGAACACCGGUGGCGAAGGCGGCUCACUGGCUCGUAUCUGACGCUCAGGCGCGACAGCGUGGGGAUCGAAACAGG
Molecule: ribosomal RNA, 254 nt
Filed under: uncultured bacterium
Lineage: Bacteria
Description: partial 16S ribosomal RNA
Rfam family: Bacterial small subunit ribosomal RNA
Source: RNAcentral